GCUUCAUUAUUCAAAGUGCUACUGGUAUAUUUAUUAUAGCAAAAGAUGUUCAAAAUUGUGUGCUAUUUUGGAAGGUUUGAUAUAUGCUAUUUACAAAUUAUGUGCUUCAAAAAUUUGGGUGGAAGGAGAUUCUAUAGUAGUUGUUAAAUGGAUUUCUAACCCACCAUUUGAUGAUGGUAGACAGUAUCCAUUAUUACAGGAUUAUUGAAGAAUGUUGAGAUCUGUAUUUACUAUUGAAGUUUCAUAUACGUUUCAGAAGGCCAAUAGUACU
Molecule: long non-coding RNA, 271 nt
Filed under: Elaeis guineensis (African oil palm)
Lineage: Eukaryota; Viridiplantae; Streptophyta; Magnoliopsida; Arecales; Arecaceae
Description: long non-coding RNA (EGUI_LNC038404)
Source: RNAcentral